UUCCGGUUGAUCCUGCCGGACCUGACUGCUAUCGGAUUGAUACUAAGCCAUGCGAGUCUUUGUAGUAAUACAAGGCAUACGGCUCAGUAACGCGUAGUCAACCUACCCUAUGGACAAGAAUAAUCUCGGGAAACUGAGCAUAAUUCUUGAUAGAUCAUAAUGCCUGGAAUGGUUUAUGGUUAAAAUGAUUCGUCGCCAUAGGAUGGGACUGCGGCCUAUCAGCUUGUUGGUGAGGUAAUGGCCCACCAAGGCGAUUACAGGUACGGGCUCUGAGAGGAGAAGCCCGGAGAUGGGUACUGAGACAAGGACCCAGGCCCUAUGGGGCGCAGCAGGCGAGAAAACUUUGCAAUGUGCGAAAGCACGACAAGGUUAGUCCGAGUGAUUUCUGCUAAAGAGAUCUUUUGCUAGUUAUAAAACCACUAGUGAAUAAGGGGUGGGCAAGUUCUGGUGUCAGCCGCCGCGGUAAAACCAGCACCUCAAGUGGUCAGGAUGAUUAUUGGGCCUAAAGCAUCCGUAGCCGGCUCUGUAAGUUUUCGGUUAAAUCUAUGCGCUCAACGUAUGGGCUGCCGAAAAUACUGCAGAGAUAGGGAGUGGGAGAGGUAGACGGUACUCGGUAGGAAGGGGUAAAAUCCUUUGAUCUAUCGAUGACCACCUGUGGCGAAGGCGGUCUACCAGAACACGUUCGACGGUGAGGGAUGAAAGCUGGGGGAGCAAACCGGAUUAGAUACCCGGGUAGUCCCAGCUGUAAACGAUGCAGACUCGAUGAUGCAUUGGCAUAUAGCCAGUGCAGUGUCGCAGGGAAGCCGUUAAGUCUGCCGCCUGGGAAGUACGUACGCAAGUAUGAAACUUAAAGGAAUUGGCGGGGGAGCACCACAAGGGGUGAAGCCUGCGGUUCAAUUGGAUUCAACGCCGGG
Molecule: ribosomal RNA, 914 nt
Filed under: uncultured marine archaeon
Lineage: Archaea
Description: bacterial SSU rRNA
Rfam family: Archaeal small subunit ribosomal RNA
Source: RNAcentral